This 235-nucleotide long non-coding RNA is filed under the name Pelobates cultripes (western spadefoot toad). Lineage: Eukaryota; Metazoa; Chordata; Amphibia; Anura; Pelobatidae. The record is from RNAcentral.
GGUCAUUCCAGAAUCCUUAUCAUGUCAUGUCAUGUCAUGUCGUGUCAUGCCAUGUCAUGUCAUGUCAUGUCAUGCAAAUAUCUUUUUUCCAGGAACAUAACAAAAUCAUGUUUCAAUAACAUUUCUGAGAAUUGGAGAUACAAUUCCAAAUUUAUUCUUGAUUCAAAUUAACCCUUACAUGAACAGUUAGGAUAUAGAGCAAAAUGGAUAUUCGCAUCUACAAUUCCCCUCUUAG